GUGCCAGCAGCCGCGGUAAUACGUAGGUGGCAAGCGUUGUCCGGAUUUAUUGGGCGUAAAGCGAGCGCAGGCGGUUUUUUAAGUCUGAUGUGAAAGCCUUCGGCUCAACCGAAGAAGUGCAUCGGAAACUGGGAAACUUGAGUGCAGAAGAGGACAGUGGAACUCCAUGUGUAGCGGUGAAAUGCGUAGAUAUAUGGAAGAACACCAGUGGCGAAGGCGGCUGUCUGGUCUGUAACUGACGCUGAGGCUCGAAAGUAUGGGUAGCAAACAGGAUUAGAUACCCUGGUAGUCCAUACCGUAAACGAUGAAUGCUAAGUGUUGGAGGGUUUCCGCCCUUCAGUGCUGCAGCUAACGCAUUAAGCAUUCCGCCUGGGGAGUACGGCCGCAAGGCUGAAACUCAAAGGAAUUGACGGGGGCCCGCACAAGCGGUGGAGCAUGUGAUUUAAUUCGAAGCUACGCGAAGAACCUUACCAGGUCUUGACAUACUAUGCAAAUCUAAGAGAUUAGACGUUCCCUUCGGGGACAUGGAUACAGGUGGUGCAUGGUUGUCGUCAGCUCGUGUCGUGAGAUGUUGGGUUAAGUCCCGCAACGAGCGCAACCCUUAUUAUCAGUUGCCAGCAUUAAGUUGGGCACUCUGGUGAGACUGCCGGUGACAAACCGGAGGAAGGUGGGGAUGACGUCAAAUCAUCAUGCCCCUUAUGACCUGGGCUACACACGUGCUACAAUGGAUGGUACAACGAGUUGCGAACUCGCGAGAGUAAGCUAAUCUCUUAAAGCCAUUCUCAGUUCGGAUUGUAGGCUGCAACUCGCCUACAUGAAGUCGGAAUCGCUAGUAAUCGCGGAUCAGCAUGCCGCGGUGAAUACGUUCCCGGGCCUUGUACACACCGCCCGU
Molecule: ribosomal RNA, 892 nt
Filed under: uncultured bacterium
Lineage: Bacteria
Description: bacterial SSU rRNA
Rfam family: Bacterial small subunit ribosomal RNA
Source: RNAcentral